This 434-nucleotide ribosomal RNA is filed under the name uncultured Lachnospiraceae bacterium. RNAcentral describes it as "partial 16S ribosomal RNA". It matches the Rfam family "Bacterial small subunit ribosomal RNA", at positions 341 to 792 of the family's 1533-position model. Lineage: Bacteria; Bacillati; Bacillota; Clostridia; Lachnospirales; Lachnospiraceae. The record is from RNAcentral.
ACGGGAGGCAGCAGUGGGGGAUAUUGCACAAUGGGGGAAACCCUGAUGCAGUGACGCCGCGUGAGCGAUGAAGUAUUUCGGUAUGUAAAGCUCUAUCAGCAGGGAAGAAAAUGACGGUACCUGACUAAGAAGCUCCGGCUAAAUACGUGCCAGCAGCCGCGGUAAUACGUAUGGAGCAAGCGUUAUCCGGAUUUACUGGGUGUAAAGGGAGCGUAGACGGUUUGCCAAGUCUGAUGUGAAAGGUGGGGGCUCAACCCCCAAACUGCAUUGGAAACUGGUAAACUAGAGUGUCGGAGAGGUAAGUGGAAUUCCUAGUGUAGCGGUGAAAUGCGUAGAUAUUAGGAGGAAUACCAGUGGCGAAGGCGUCUUUCUGGACUGUUACUGACACUGAGGCACGAAAGCGUGGGGAGCAAACAGGAUUAGAUACCCUGGUA